GCUGGGCAUGGUGGUGCAUGCCUGUAGUCCCAGCUACUCUGGAGGCUGAGACAGGAGAAUCACUUGAACCCAGGAGGCUGAGGUUGCAGUGAACUGAGAUCAUACCACUGCACUCCAGCCUGGGUGACAGAGUGAGACUCCAUCUCAA
Molecule: signal recognition particle RNA, 148 nt
Filed under: Gorilla gorilla gorilla (western lowland gorilla)
Lineage: Eukaryota; Metazoa; Chordata; Mammalia; Primates; Hominidae
Description: Metazoan signal recognition particle RNA
Rfam family: Metazoan signal recognition particle RNA
About the family: The signal recognition particle (SRP) is a universally conserved ribonucleoprotein. It is involved in the co-translational targeting of proteins to membranes.
Source: Rfam by way of RNAcentral